CAAGGUUCGACUUGAGCGCCAGCGAGAGAGCGUUGCCGCAGGCAACGACCCGAAGGGCGAAGCGCGCAGCGCUGAGUAAUCCUUCCCCCACCACCA
RNAcentral lists this small RNA (96 nucleotides) under Escherichia coli. RNAcentral's name for it is "partial RtT sRNA". It matches the Rfam family "RtT RNA", at positions 37 to 130 of the family's 130-position model. Rfam says of the family: This family represents a bacterial cis-regulatory element known as RtT RNA. The exact function of RtT is unknown although it is thought that it may be involved in changing the cellular response in relation to amino acid starvation. Lineage: Bacteria; Pseudomonadati; Pseudomonadota; Gammaproteobacteria; Enterobacterales; Enterobacteriaceae. The record is from RNAcentral.